UUUUUUUUUUUUUUUUUGGGUUUAUGCCAAAUAAAGUCACUUUACCAUAUCAUUUUUAUGUCAGCACUCAGCACAUGACGGAGCGAAUAUCAAAUCUUACCUAUUAAUUUCACUUGACAUGCAAACAUGAUCCACGUAAAUUGUAGAAAAAUCAAAUGCGCAGCGUUAAUUUUCUCUAACAUGUUCAACAUCAAGAGCAACACGAACCCGUUUGAAUUUUUGAUUUUGAAUCUAAUGGUGUUUGACUUGUCUUUUCGAUACUUGGAAAAGGUUUUUCGCUCUGGACUUCUUUUUAAUCAUUGAUAUGAACUGACCUUCUAUGUACUCUUCCUCUUUAUUAUUAUUUUUUCUGAAAAAUUCGAACAAUGGCAGGAUACAAGAACAAGGAGAAAAAUUUACUCAUAACUGGCAGUAGUAGUAUGUUUUUCUAACCAUAUUCCUGUUUACAUUUUGCAGGUCUACUAGAAAAUGGUAACUUUGAGGAAGGGCCAAAGGUAUCAAACCUUAAGAAAAGACAGAUCAUAGGAAAAUACUCCUUGCCCAAAUGGGAAAUUCAUGGCAUAGUUGAAUAUGUUUCAAGUGGACCGCAACCUGGUGGUUUUUACUUCGCAAUCCCUCGUGGGGCUCAGGCAGCGAGGCUUGGAAAUGAGGCUUCCAUAUCUCAAUAUGUUAAGGUGAAACCUGGAGCAAUGUACUCAUUGACCUUUGCAGUCACCAGGACUUGUGCCCAAGAUGAGAAGCUAAGGGGUUCUGUCCCUGGUUUUUCGACUGAACUCCCAAUUCAAACACUGUUUAGCAGCGAUGGUGGUGAUACUUAUGCAUGGGCUGUUAAGGCAACUUCUGAUGUUUUCAAGGUUACAUUUCAUAAUCCUGGAAUUCAAGAGGAUCCUACCUGUGGACCUCUUCUGGAUGCAAUUGCAAUCAAGGAGAUACUUCCUCUCAGAUACACUAAGGGUAAGUCCUCUUCCAAAUUUGGAAUUUUUUUCCAAUAUCAUCUGCCUCCCAGAUCUUUAAGCAGAUUUGUGAAAGCUCGAUAUUGGCCAGUACAAGAAAAAUGUUAAUGGCACACACUUAUCUGUUAAUGAUACUCCUCUUGACUAUUCUAACGGCAGUUGUAAAUUCAAAGAAAAACAUGGCAAUUUUUAUCUGAUUCAGAUGGCAAAAGGUUGAAAAAAAAAAGGGUGCCGUUCACAGAGAAAGGAGUGCCAUUAACAUUUAUCCCAAAAUAAUUGUCUGAAUUGUUGGGCAAUGGUCGUAAGUUGAUCACAACCCAACUGCCUUUUUUGUUCUUUUUAUUAUUGACUGUUGAUAUUCGUUCACGAAGACACUAUCUUUAAAAUAUAAAUUUGUAGUUUCUUCCAAAUAUAUAGUAAAUGUUAACCAAUGCAAUGUAUAUUUUAUAAUUCAUUGAAAGCUCCUGAUUUGCACUGAAACUAUGCAGGUAACUUGGUCAAAAAUGGUGAUUUUGAAACCGGCCCUCAUGUGUUCAAGAAUUUCUCCACUGGGGUGCUGCUCCUCCCUAAGAGGACGGACAUCUACUCAUCGCUCCCUGGAUGGAUUGUUGAAUCCCUCAAACCAGUUAAGUAUGUUGACUCAAAGCAUUUCUCCGUUCCCCAGGGACUUGCAGCUAUUGAAUUGGUUGGAGGAAGAGGAACAGCUAUUGCACAAAUCAUAAGAACAGUACCUAACAAGUUCUACUUUCUUUCCUUCGCUUUUGGGGAUGCUAGGAAUGGUUGUCAUGGAUCAAUGACGAUUGAAGCUUUUGCAGCUAGGAAAACCAUAAAACUUUCAUUUACAUCAACUGGAAUUGGUGGAUCCAAGACUGCCAUCCUCAUGUUUCAAGCACUUUCAAACAGAACAAGAAUAACUUUUUAUAGCCCAAAUUAUCACACAAAGCUUCAUGACUAUGGUCACAUAUAUAUGUGGUCCUGUUUUGGAUGAUGUUAAAGUGUUUCCUCUCAAAUAGUCACUGUUAGAGUGAAGAUCAAAGAGAGUGAUCAAAAAGCAACAUAGUUUUGGAAGCUUUUUCUUUUCUUUUCUUUUCUUUUUUGUUAGUUCAAGGAAUUGCUGUAUGGGUCACAUUGGUGCUUUAAGCUGCAGGAGGUAAUUAGUUUAUGAGAUCUGCCUUUUUGGUUUUGCUUGUGAUCACGUUUCAAAAUCAUUUCCCCACAACUAUCAAACGGAGACGGAAAUUAAUUAAUAAAAAAUGAAUUCGUAAUCUGUUUUAAACUGAACAUUACUAAUAAAAGUUUGUUAUCAAUUAGUAAUACUGCUAUAAGAUUACUCUAAUUGAGGGAAGCUUAUUAUAGAUGAACCUCAUAUCCUAACUUCAUUUAAGUAUUUUUUUUUCUUGCUGAGAGGAUAUUAGUGAACAAUCAGGUACGACAAGAGCAUUUCUAAUACUGCAACCUUCAUCAGAUUUCCAUUGAUUUUAAUUUUUUUCUAUUACACAUAAAAUCAGAUGCUUGCAUAUAGUAAUAAUGUCUUCAUUGUUUCCCUAAAUUCAAUGAACUCAAUAACAUGGAAAACGGAAUACUGUUUAGAUGGAACAAAGUGUUGCUAAAAUUCCAGAGCUUUCUAUUGGGUCUAUAGAAUUGUCUGUGUUAUAAUGACUUUUUUCCCCAUAUCAUGAUAAGUUGUUAGCAUUUAGAAAAGGAUUAACUGCAUGGAGAUUUACUAAUUACACUGAAAACCCUAUCUCUUUGCAAGUCAAGGAGAUUUUGCUGCUGAUAUGGGCCGUCUCGUGUCAAAAUGAUAUUUUAAUUCCUUUCAUAUCAGUUUCACUAGGUAAGUUAUCUAAUGGAAGAUCGACUUUUUUCUUGCAAUGAGAUCAGGUGUCUUGACAUGUUCAGUUUAAGUUUCUGUUUCAUAAGUUAAGCACAUGAUCGAUCAGGGCACAUGACAAUGCAUUUAUUUGGUUGAAUUGCAGUUUGUAAAUCAGAGAAUUCAGUGGAAGUUUCCAUCCAACAACAUAUGAUGCAAGUUAAUUUAAUCAUCCCGUACACAUCAAAACUUUCAUUUAGAAGUCAUCUUCCAAUCUAAACAUGACAUGUAUGAAUCCAAGGUAGAGAAGCCAAGAAGAUCUUGAAUGUGGAGGAGGCUCUUGGAUGUCCAAGAAACUAAACAGCAAUAUAAAAUAGAGGUCUAGGAGGCAAACAUCAGAUGUAAUUAAAGAAAGGAGGUUUCAUUGAAGGCUAGCUAGUUAUUGUAAAACCACUAGAUUAAUUAGUGUGUAAAACAGGUCGAUUUUCCGAGCAAAUACUUGAGACAGUUGGCCACAUCCUCCGCCUAGUUUCAUGGCUACAGCCAAGAAUACCGUCCAAACAAUUCAUUGGACAUUGUUAUAUACAACCCUAGUUCCUCUUUAGCUUCCAUUCUUUAUUGUAUAAAUUUUUGCAGAAAAUGGCUCCCUUUCAAACUCUCUGCAUUUUGUUCAUCUUUUCUAUUUGCGGAAGCUUUUCGUUCGCUGCAGUCACCCUAUUUCUUGAUGGUAUGCUCGAACCUCUCUCGCUAUUUCUCAACAAGUAACUUGCCAAGUCUACAUCACUAGAUAAUCAAGAUUUUGCCUCAGGUUCUUUUUCAUGUAUAUAUACCCAAAAGCUAAAGAAUGAGUGGAAAAUUUCACUUGCGGCAAUUAAUACAAAUUAUGCUAAUCGUACAUGUCUGUCUAUUAAUUUGCAGGUCUACUAGAAAUCGGUAACUUUGAAGAAGGACCAAAGGCAUCAAAUCUAAAGAAAACAGUGAUCAUAGGAAAACACUCCUUGCCCAAAUGGGAGAUUGAUGGUAUAGUUGAGUACGUCUCAGGUGGACCACAACCUGGUGGUUUUCGCUUUGCAAUUCCUCGUGGGGCUCAUGCAGUGAGGCUUGGAAAUGAAGCUGCCAUAUCUCAGCAUGUCAAGGUGAAACCUAGAGCAAUCUAUUCUUUGACCUUUUCAGCCACCAGGACUUGUGCCCAAGAUGAGGUGCUAAGGGGUUCUGUCCCUGGAUUCUCAAGUCAACUUCCCAUCCAGACAUUGUACAGCAGCGAUGGUGAUGAUACUUAUGCCUGGGCUUUUAAGGCUGCUUCUGAUGUUGUUAAGGUCACAUUUCAUAACCCGGGGGUUCAAGAGGAUCCAACCUGCGGACCUCUCCUGGAUGCUGUUGCCAUCAAGGAGAUAUUAAGCAAUGGGCACACUAGGGGUAAGUCCUCCUUUCCAAAUUAUGCUUAAUAUUAUUAGUAGGCUACCUUCAUAUUCUUCAUUCUUCACCUUCUAGUCAUUUUUUACAAAUGGUAAAAUUGGGCCUCAGUAUUCGUAAAUGUUCUGAUUCUCAGUUCUAAUUCCAAAACUACAACUUUCUGGGGGAUAUAACAAAUUAGGAUCUGAUCUAACGGUGGACCAAAUAUUAAAUGACAAUAAUAGUAUACUUUUAAUUAGACGGUAGAAAUGUCGAUGCAAUAUUUUUCUACAAUCAUCUAAAAUUUGGUCGCAAAUAAGUAGAGUCCAUGUAAACAUUUCCCUUCUUGUUUUAUCUUAAGAAAAGAAGAAGUAAGAUCCUUUAAAUGCACAAACAGUGACUGAUUGUGUAAUUACUUCUGCAAAAUGUGUUGCAGGUAACUUGGUAAGAAAUGGUGGAUUCGAAAACGGCCCUCAUGUAUUCAAGAAUUUCUCGACUGGGGUUCUACUCCUUCCAAUGACGUCUGACUCUUACUCAACAGUCCCCGGGUGGAUUGUCCAACACCUCAAACCUGUUAAAUACAUCGAUUCCAAGCAUUUCUUUGUUCCACAAGGAAAUGCGGCCAUUGAAUUGAUUGGAGGAAGGGAAACUGCAAUAGCACAGAUUAUAAGAACAGUGGUUAACAAGUUCUACCUCCUUUCGUUCACGAUUGCUGAUGCAAAGAACGGUUGUCAUGGAGAGAUGAUGGUUGAAGCUUAUGCAGCAAAGCAAACUCUGAAAGUUCCAUUCAGAUCUACUGGAACCAUGGUUCAAAGUCACGGUUGCGGUCGCGGUCGCGGCCCGGAACGUUCCACAUCGGUUUCGGCAUAUCGGUCGCGGUCUCGGUGAGACGCAAAUUUUAAAGUAUUUAAUAUUCUAAAAAUUGUUAAUAAUAUAAAAAAGUAUGCUAAAUAAAAAUAAUUAAAAAUAGCAAAAGAAACAGCCAUGUCAAUCCGUCGCGGUGUGACUCGGCUGAUUUCUCGUCUUGACUCGGGAUAACUCGGAGUGACUUGGUGUGACUUGACCGAGUCAAUCUGUCGUGUGACGACUCGGCCGAUUUCUCGACGAGUCAAGUAUUUCGGUAUCGUUUCGUCACGGUAUCGUAUCGGUAGGGGUCGAGACGGUGACGACUCUGCCGAGUCGUCUCGGUCUCUGCCGAGACUUCGAACCACUCAGCCGAGACUUCGAACCAUGACUGGAACUGGUGGAUCUAAGAGAGCAAGAUUCAAAUUCCAAGCAAUUUACAACAGAACAAUGAUAAGUUUUUACAGCCCAUUUUAUCACAUGAACAUUCAUGACUAUGGUCAAAGAUGCGGUCCUUUCCUGGAUGAUGUUAAAGUGUUCCCUUUCAAAUAGUCAUUUGCAAGCAGAUGAACACUGAACAACUGCAAGGGCAACAAAUUUUCUCUUUCAUAUAGGCUCCUUUUUAUCGUCACUUGGGAACAAAUUAAGCACAAUUCUUAUGCUCAUGUUGGUGUUUAACCUGAAGAUCACUGCUUCACAUGCUUUGUCUUGUUCAUUUUUUUCUUUUCUUUUACCCAAUUUACGAAUGACAACCCUUUCCAUUAAAAUUCUUUCUUUACCAUAUCAUGCAACAAGAGGCAUAGCAAUCCUGAUAUUUACUGUUCUCUUUUCUCGUUUGCGGAAGUUUCUUUGCAUCAUCUUCAUGGUAUUAAACCGAAUUAAGUUUAGGUAACGUUAAGAGUAAAGCCAAAAACGUUGAAAUUAUUCUUUAACUGGCAACUUCAUAACGAGUUACACAAGGGAAAAGAAAACUCAUUAAACCACAAUCUAUUAUAAAAAGGGUAAACACAUAUAACAGCAUAUAAUUUUGCUUAUUGUCACAUGACCUCUUUAAGGUUUCAAAUAACCAUAUAAUUCUCUUGUAGCUUUAUGUGGAGCAAAAAAUGGACAGAAAGCAUCAUCGGUUAUGCACUUGAACUAGACAUGCUUAAAAAAUGCAUAUGAUGGAAUUAUAAUAUUUACUUAACUCUCUUAUGAUUUACAUGAAUAUCCACUUUACCUUCUUGUAUUUUUACAUUUAUCCAUAUAAUUCUUCUAUAAUUUUAUACAAGAUGGUUAGGCCAUUGUUCGUUUUAAUACUCAAGCAAGGGCAAUUUAGGUAUUUCAUUUAAAGAUGCUAUAGAGACUAUUUUUCAUCAAAUUUCCACUUUACAUAAAACUAUGAGAUGUAAAGCAGAUGUUUUGAAAUAUUAGAGAGAAUAUGUAGCAAUAAGUGAAACUACAAAAGGAUUAUUUGUAAUUUAUCCUAAAAAAAUGCAUUGCUCUUCUUUCCCGUGCUCAAGCUCUCAUUCACCCUUUAUUACUCUGCUGAAACCUCAUGGUAAAACUCAUCUUCGUUAAAUUCGAACCCUCAAAAUUUAAUUGUUUGUCAUAACACAAAAAUUAUUUUUGUGUGUAGUGUUUAAUUGUGAGUUAUCAGGCUAAUUCUCUGGGAGAGUAGGCUGUGCCUACUAAUAUUUUUCUGGAUAAGUUAUUGAAGUUCUAAAUAAAAGAAGAAAAUGGUCAAUAGCCUAUCAACUAAUGUUCGACUCCAGUUCAAAAGUUUAAUAAUUUUUUUUAUUUUAGUAUUAAUAAUUUUGAAUAAAACUAAAAUAUUUAUUUUGGAAAACAAAUACUUAAUUAAAACUAGCUGAACCUCUAGGUUGUUAUCGGUUCAACUGAUUCUUGAUCGAUUUUGACCUGUUCAAUUAAUUCUUUGACUUUUUAAUUGAAUCAGACCGAAGGCAUGAUCUGUUCGCGGUUCAAUCGAUCAAAUUGGACGGUCCGGUCUAAUUUUCAAAACAUUGGUGUGAUUUAGUACCAACAACAGGAUAAUGAUACAAUCUUUCCCACAAACAAUUCCAAGGUUAGAUUUCAAAUAUUGCUGCAUAAGCAAUCAUGCUGACUUGAGCUCAAACCAAUUCAGUGUCCAAUUUAUCCUAAAUUAUAACCUGCUACUUUGAAACCAUUUUAGACCUUUCUACGAACUGAUGCUCUCGAGGGCUCUCUUACUUCUUCUUGUGUAAGGUGAGGAAUGAAAUACAAGAGAAUUACAGACCUCGAACAACUUCUUUCAAAUAAAAUUUUUGAUUUGGAAAACAAUAACUUUAGAGCAAUCACUCCAAGGUCCAUCGGAUAUAUGAAAUAUUUGCGGUUUUACACUUGUGAAGCAAUAGUCUCCCUGAUGGGAUACGUUCGUUUCUAAAGAAUUGCACAAAUUUGUUAGAAAUGACCUUGCAGGGAAAAAAAAUUUUGUUAAUAAAAUUCCACUUUUAAAUUGUGAGAUCUAUAUUAAUGACAAAAAAUACAUCAUUCAAUAUGUCACAGAAACAACAAAUUUGAAACAGCUAUGAAUACACUAGAUUUGAAAAAUUUACAAAUAUUAUAUUGUAAAUUCCUAAUCUAUUCUAAAUUAUAUCAAUUUCUUUGAACCCAACGAGCAUUUGUGCAUGUUUUCUCUUGCCAGAUAUGUAGUUUAACUUCUUCAAGUCCAUUUACCAAGUUGAAAUUUGACAAAAUAGAUUCAAAUUUUCAGAUUUGACAAAUAGAUCUGAAAAUUUUGACAUUUGACAAAGAAAAAAAUUACAAAAAAUUUAAACUAAAAUAAAAUUAUCAUUAGAAAUCCUAAGAGAUAAAAAGCUAGGCCUUGUUUGAUAACUCAAUUCAUCACUUAAAUUUAAUGGAUUCAGAUAGUUUAAUAACAUAAAAUUGAACGUCUGAAUUAAUUAAAUGACAUUGAAUAUAUUUCUUAGGCAAAAUUUGUUUCCAAAAUUAAGUGAUAAGUGAUAUGCACUCAAAUGUAUUAGAUUUAAUACUUAAUAAUUCAAUAACUUAAUAGAUUCAGAUUUCAAAUUUCAGAUUUCGAACUUCAGUUUUCAGAUUUCAAUUUUAUCAAACGCACCAUUAGUUGAGAAAAUACCGAAUUGAUUUGAUUAUCUUUUAUUAAUUUGAGGAUUCUCAUUUUACAUUCCAACAAGUUUCAGGGUGAACUUCCCCUAGAACUGUGCCACUUGAAUUCUCUUCCAGUCAUAGAUUUUCCAACUAACAACAUUUUAGGUGCAAAUCAAUUUUUAAAAAAAACAUUCAAUUAUUAUUGACCUUGCAUCGUAAACUUAAUUUUUAGUCAUUUUUUUAUUUCACAUAUAUUAUAUAACAACAAGUAUUAUUUCAAAUAAUUUUUUUCAAAUAAUCUCUUAUCCAAACACACCAAUUGGAUAGCCGAAACACGCCAAUUGGAUCUCCUGUGAUGUGCUUUUUUACGUCCUAUUCAAAAAAUCUCCUAGCCAAACACACCGACUGUGAUAUUAUCACCCCCCCCCCCCCCAACGAAUUGGGCAACCAAGGGAAAUGAGUACGAACAUGGCAUUGUUCUUCAAUAGUAUUAACCUCUCAAUUGAUCACUUUUGUGGUAUCGUCCCUGACCUGACGAAUUGACUUCACUUUCGAAAUUGAUAUCUUUGAACUUGUCUGGCAAUCAAUUGAGAUGAAUGAUUCAGUCAUUUCAACGCAAAAUUUGUUUGAUAUAAUCCUAAUCUCCUCCACCACUCACCAGCAUCUUGGGAAUGAUUCCUCGUCCUGGAAACUCAACUGGUUGAAGUCUUUUAAAAGCCUCUUCAAUUGCUGUAUUGGCGGAACUAUAGGGGCAGCCAAAAAAAAAAAUUUCUGAUGAAAAGUCAAAUGGUGGAAAUGUUCUUAAAGCUAAUGAAUUGCAUUAUUGGCCGAUCUGCAGGGGCGGAAGGGGCAGCUUCCCCCGACCCUCCCCCAUGAAUUUUUUUAAAAUAUAUAUAUGUAAUAGGUAAUUUGAUUUGAAAAAUUGUAUGGUUUAUAUUUUGGAAUAAAUUUUUAUACAUUAAUACUGCAUACACUAUCAUCAUUAGAUACCUGAUAAUUAAAUUGAAUUCAAAUCAAAUUUUACACAGUGUCAUGCAUCUAACACAGUCAGUCAGUAUCUAAGAUUAACGUAUAUUUUUAGUCGAUGCCUACGAAUACACAUACAAUAGUCCGGAACCAAACUACAUUGUUAGAUAUCUCCUAUAUGUACUACCCAAAAAAUUUUCACGCAAAGUCGCCUUUGCCAAAUCUAGAGGGUCAUAAAAGGAGGUCAUCCGUGAUUGUAAAUUCAGGCUAAAUUUUCUCAAAACAUCCACACAUGAGUUGUCUUCCCUCUAAAAAUGAGAAACAGUACAUUCCCAACCGCUACAUAGGUUUCCGAGAGGAGUGCCGCGCUUAUCCAAUAAAUUAAUAAAAAAGAAUUAAAAAAACAAAUACAAGGGCGAACACAAAUUUCUUAGUCUCUCUAGUUAAUUCAUCUCUUUCUUUAUCGUAUUUAUUAGGUACAGAAAAAUAAAUAAGAAACUCUUUUAACUUUUUUUUCUCACAAAUCACUUCAUUUUUGUAACAUUCGUACAAAAUCUUCAGUGUUUUUGUGGGAAAAAUUCAUUUUUUUUCAAGUUUUAUACAACAAAGAAAAGCAAGAACAAUUCUCAAUAAUUUUUGGCUUAUUGACUUGCGCUCUAAAUUCAAGUAAAUUACUAUAUUAUAUUGUACUUAAAAAGUUUGCCUUAUAUUUUCUGAUACUAGUACUUUAAUCUGUCGAUUUAUUCUUUAUUGAAGAUGCUACUUUAUAUGCAAUUGAUGAUAUUUGUUUGGCAUACUAAUUAUCAGCUCUUUAUUUAGUACAGAUCUUAUAUUUUCUGUUACUUGUACUUUAAUCCGCUGAUUUAUUCUUUACUAAAGAUGCUAUUUUAUAUACCUUCAAACAAAAAGAUGCUAUUUUAUAUGCAAUUGACGAUAUUUGUUUGACAUACUAAUUAUCAACUCUUUAUUUAGUAAAGAUUUUUUUUAUAGGCAAUAAAGUUUGUUCCACAUAGUUGAAGGAUCUUUUUUUAGGCAACAUUUUACAUAAUUGAAGUUGAUUUGCAAAUGCGUGUCAGUGUAGUUAGUUUUAAUCGAACUAUGAGGAGAUUAUAUAUAGUUUUUAAAAUUAUAGGAGUUUACGUGAAAAUUCAUUAAACUACUGGGGAUAAAGUGUAUUUUACUCAAUUCUUGAAUAAGUUAGUAUCAGCUUCACCCACGAAGUCAAAAUCCUGAAUCCCCGGUGGCUAUAUAUAGUUCAAGCAGUUUCACGUAUGGAAGGCUUUUUACUAUCUAAAUCGCCUUUUUUAACAAUUCAAAGUCCAAAGUAUCUGUAGUACGAUGAAUUCUGGUUCCGGCAAGCCAAUAUUUGCGGUAGCUGCCCAGCUUCCCAGGUUUCUUCUAAUCAUGACAGUAGCUUUACUCAGCUGUUGCUAUGAAAAUGAAGCUGGUGCCUGCAUAGCCUACGAGAAACAAGCUCUUCUGAGCUUCAAGAAAGACUUGAUAGAUCCCUCGAGUCGACUCUCCUCAUGGACUGCUCCCGAUGCUGAUUGCUGCAAAUGGGAAGGCAUUGUCUGCGAUAACAUCACCGACCAUGUGACCGAACUUUACCUUCGACAUCCCAAUGGAAGCAAUCUCUGGAAUCAGUAUGGUCCUAGUUACUUUGAUAUGUUUGCCUUCAGAGGCAAACUAAAUCCCUCUUUGCUCAACCUGAAACAACUUCGAUUUGAGCCUAAAUGACUUUGGAGGAGUCCCGAUCCCAAGUUUUAUAGGGUCUCUCAAAAGUAUCGAGUAUCUCAAUUUGUCAUAUGGAGGAUUUGGAGGAAUCGUCCCACCUCAGCUUCGAAAUUUGUCAAAUUUACACACUCUAAGUAUGGGAGGGUUGUAUGUGCUUCAGGAUGACAAUCUGCAAUGGUUGGCCGGUCUUUUCAAUCUGGAGCACCUGGAUAUGACUUCUGUGAAUCUCCGCGGAGCAUCUAAUUGGGCACAGGUGAUUAAUACGAUUCCUUCAUUGGUAGAGGAACACUUUGUUGCGGAAGCCCUACCAAAGUUAAGGUAUAACGAGUAAAUUAUUGUACCUAAAAUUGCAAAAAUGGUAAUUCCCAGGAAAUAUUUGGUGAGGCACACUGGCCUGCUUAAGUACCAAUUUCCUAGACAGAAUCACCUAUAUAUGCACCUAAUUGCACAAUAACUCACUACAAAUAUACCUACAAAUAUAGCUACUAAAUAGACAAUAAAAUAGAACACCAGAAUUUAACGAGGUUCGGCUAAUUUGCCUACGUCCUCGGACACUACCGACAAUUUAAUAUUUCACUAGAAGAAAUAUUACAAAGAGAGAGAAGAAAGCAAGUUAUUGGCUCUUGCUUGGUGUGUCUAAUCCUAUCAAAUGAUGCUCCUAUUUAUAGUUUACAAAUGAUAGGAUUCCUAACAAAACUACCGAUGUGGGAUUUAGAAACUUAGGCCAAAGAUUUCAAAGUCCUCAAUUUUGGCUUGAAAAAGUCAUCAAUUGAGGCUUGGCUUUGAAUUCAACAAAUCUCCACCUUGGCAUAAUUUCUAAUCCCACCAAAAAUAAAAAUUUUUUUUUUCCCUCAAAUUCGGUGGUGUCUUCAAAUGCGUUGUCAAGCGCCAAUCUUCAAGUUGUGCACAACAUUUAUCAAAUUCAAACAAUGUUGGAAUUUGAUAGUUGUCACAACCUUCGUAAGCAUAUCAGCAGGAUUCUCCUUGGUCUGAAUCUUUUGAAGUAGUAUCGUACUAUCUUCCAAAAUCUUCCUCACAAAAUGAUACCGUACGUCGAUAUGCUUCGUCCUUGCAUGAUAAACUUGGUUCUUUGCUAAAUGAAUAGCACUCUGACUAUCACAAUGAACUUUGAUAGACUUCUGUCCAAUUCCCAAUUCAUCAAGCAAUCCAUGAAGCCAAAUUGCUUCCUUAACAGCUUCCGUAACUGCCAUAUACUCCGCCUCUGUAGUAGACAAAGCAACUGUUGACUGUAAGGUAGACCUCCAACUGACUGGUGCCUUAGCAAGUGUAAAAACAUACCCAGUCGUUGAUCGACGUGUAUCUUGAUCUCCUGCGUAGUCGGAAUCACAAUAUCCAACUACGCCUUGACCAAUCUUCUCAUCCCGCUCAAAUACUAAUCCAACAUCUACGGUGUUCAAAAUAUACCGUAAAAUCCAUUUCACAGCUUGCCAAUGCUCCUUGCCAGGAUCAUGCAUGUACCUGCUCACACACUUGUCCUACUGUCAACUUGACCGUAUUUCUCCCCUAAUGGAAACCAAUCUUUCUUCUCUUACUGUCCUUGAUCUUUCACACAAUGGAAUAUCCUUCCUGCCCAGAUGGAUAUUUAGUCUUGGUGCGCUAGUCUCCCUUGAUUUGGGAUACAAUCAAUUUCAGGCGCCAUGGCCAGAAGGUCCCUGGAACUUGACUUCUCUCCAAUUCUCGCAUUUGCCUCAAAACAUCCUAAAUGGGUCAUUACCCCUGGAGAUUUUAGAUCUAAGUACUCUCGUUUUACUUGAUUUAUCCAAGAACGAGAUCGUCGUAGCAACCUGACAAACCUCCAUCAUUUUGACAUGUCGGACAACAAGCUGAAUUCCAGCAUACCUAGCUGGUUGUACGAGUCCAGACAGAUAAAUUUUCUGAAUCUUGCGCGAAACUGGCUGCAAGGUGUAAUCUUGGAAGACAUAGCAAACCUGAGCUCCAUAGUCUCGCUGGACUUGACUGCCAAUCAACUUACGGGAACAAUAACUAAGAAGAUAUAGGAAACCCGUGCAACAUAAGUUUCAUAAGUAUGUCAAAAAACAAACUCGAGGGACGAAUAUCAGAUUUGAUUGAUGGUAUGUCGGUCUGCUCUUCUUAUGUUCUCAAAUCCUUAUAUCUGGACAAUAAUCAGCUCUCUGGCCAAUUAACUGAUAAUCUUGGAUAUUUUCAAAUGUUGAGCAGCGUAACCUUGGUUCCAACUCCAUAUCUGGUCCAAUCCCUUCCAACAUAGGGGUCUUGUCCUUCUUGGAAACAAUGCUUUUGGGAGAUAACCAAAUAAAUGGAACUCUCCCUCCUAGUCUUGGAAAACUUUUCAGGGUAAAAGAGUUAGACAUUUCUCGAAAUAUGAUGGAAGGCAUUGUGACUCAGAGUCAAUUUGAGAAUCUCACCAACAUAAGGUACUUGAAGGCGCCUGGAAAUUCCUUGACUUUAGAAGUAGAUCCCAGUUGGGUUUCUCUGGCCCAGUUUUUAUAUCUUGAUUUGAGUUAUUGGAAAUUAGGUCCUCAGUUUCCCAACUGGCUCCGUUUACAAAAGGAGAUAAAUUUUCUGGAUUUAUCCUCUACUGGAAUCUCAGGUGCUAUUCCUCCGUGGCUUUGGAACAUGAGUACAGCAUUUGAUUACUUGGAUCUUUCCUAUAACCAGCUAAGUGGUGGUAUUUCAAAUAUUUGCUGUAUAAAUAAAGUGCACCUGAGCUCAAACCAAUUCAGUGGCCCAUUACCUUCUACAACUCCUGAUCGCCUGUUUACUUUAGACCUCUCCAAUAAUUCCAUUUCUGGAGGUCUCUCUCACUUCUGUGUCAUGGAGUUCGCCCAAAUGGAAAAAGAACGAUAGAGGUUCUUGAUCUUGGAGAAAAUCUUCUUUUGGGUGAAAUUCCUCAUUGUUGGAUGAAUUGGACAGUUCUAGGCUUCAUUAGUUUGUCAAACAAUAAUCUAAGUGGAAGUAUCCCAAUGUCCAUCGGAUAUUUAAGUACUCUGCUCUCUUUGCACUUGCGCAACAACAAUCUCUCUGGUGACAUACCUUCUUCCCUGGAGAAUUGUACAGAACUAAUUACAAUUGACGUUGCAGGAAACAAAUUAGGGGGGAAGUUACCAACUUAGCUGGGUCCAAGUCUUUCCAAAUUGAGGAUUCUCAUCCUGCGCUCUAACAAGUUUAAUGGUGAAAUUCCUCCUGAACUAUGCCACCUGUCUUCCCUGCGAGCCUUAGAUGUUUCCAACAACGAUUUUGUGGGUGUGAUCCCGAGUCGUUUCAAGAACAUUACCUCCAUGGCAACAGAAGAGAGCGUUUACUUGCGCAAUAAUGAGACAACUUACUUCUAUUCUGGUUACCCAGAGAGUGUGCAUUUGGCAAUUAAAGGAAAUGCAUACGAAUAUAACUGGAUUCUUGGACUUUUCUGCAGCAUUGACCUCUCAAACAACAAUUUUUCUGCUCAAGAUCCCUCUUGAACUAACCAAUCUUUUGGGGUUGAAAUCGUUGAAUCUGUCCGGCAAUCAACUGGGAGGAACGAUUUCAAGCAACAUCGGCCAAAUGGGACGACUAGAAUCUCUUGAUCUAUCAAGAAAUCAUCUCUCAGGGACAAUUCCUUCUAGCAUUUCAAAACUAUGCUCCUUGGGUUUCUUGAAUUUGUCUUUCAAUAACUUGUCAGGGAAAAUUCCAUCAAGCACGCAAACGCUAAGUUUUGAUGCUUCUUCCUUUGCUGGUAACCAACUUUGCGGCCGCCCCCUGACAGUGAAUUGUGGCAGCAGCAGCACUGAUGGUGUGACUGUAAUCAAGGAAGAAAGUGUCGAAACUGCUGUGGAUUAUUGGCUUUAUAUCUGCAUUGGUGUGGGGUUUGUGAUCGGCUUUUGGGCUGUUUCUUUUACUCUAAUACUGAAGAAGUCAUGGAGAUACAGGUUUGUGGAUGAAGCUUGGUACAGGUUACAGGAAUAAAAUAGCAAACAACUGUCUUGUGACCUGCAUCAUGAUGUAAACGAGUUGGUCCGCUAUUUAUAUAUUUUCUCAUACCCAAUUUACAGAUUGAUUACCCCUCUCCAGUAAUAAAAAUGUUUCUUAACCAUGUCAUGCAAUAAGAGGCCACUCUUCCAGUUUGUGACAUUUAUACAUCCCCUUUCUCAUUUUCAAAAGUUUUAUUCCACUACAUUCAUGAUAUUGGCUUGUUGACAGAUUUCAAGAACACGGUUUGACUAAGUAGGAAAAAAAAUUGAGACAUAAAAUUAUGAAAUUUCAGACAAUGGAUUUUUGACAUUUUUGUGUCUACGGAGGAAGAAGUAAAACAAGAAAUUAGAGCCACCAUCCAUGCAAAUUAUGUUAGUCUCCAUAUAUUAUUGAUAAAUUUUUAGUUUUACCCCCAUUAAAUUUUUGAAAACUAUCCCCAAUGCAAAUUAUGUUAGCCUCCAUAUACAAAUUAUGUUAUUACACGUCCUUGAAUCAAUCAAAACCAUUAAAAUCUCAUAAGCCAACAAAGAAAGAGCAGAGUGCAAUGAGAUCUCUAGAUGUGGUGAUGAUUAUCUUGGGAGAAGUUGUUCUUGUGUGCACUGGCAAAUGCAAGGGGACUAGGAGUGAGGGAUUGGCAAGCAAGAUUUUGGAAAUUCUUUCUGUAUCCUAUAAAAAUGUGCAAAUCUUUGAAAAGAAAUUUGUGAAUCUUCUACAUAUAUCUUUUUAGAAAUUAGGUUUUUGCCCCUCCAAAAUUUUAAAAGUCCUUUUAUAUCCUAUUAAAAUAUUAAAAGUUUCACUUAUAUUCUUGUAAAUAUUAUACUUCGUCCUCCAAAGUUUUAUCAAAAAAUAUGAGAAUGCCUCUCAAGCAUACAUCUUGCCCCUCAAAUCCCAAGCCCUGGUCCCGCUAGUGCUUCUGUACACAUUAAGUAUCAUCAUAAUUCCUAGCUACGUCAAGCCAUUUAAUUUUGACUGCCGUCUUUCUUGUUCUAAUUUUCACCGCUGGCAUCCCAUUAUCACGGAUUGCUGAUUCCUGCUCUUGCAAGUUAAGCUCAAGCAUGUAUAUCGCAAAGCCAACAGAUGGACAGAUGCACUAGCAAAGUUAGGUUGCAAUCUGGAUAAGCCUUCUGUGAUUUUUGAAUCAUGUCCUCCUGAAAUUUCUUUUGUUUUUGAUGAGGACAAACAGAGGGUCUGCUUUCCCCGCUAGCUUUAGGUUGAAUUGUAAUAAUAGCUUAGUGACAACUUUGUACUUCUGGUUAAUUUAUGCAAUCAUCUAUUUACCAAAAAAAUGUGGGCAAAUUCCACUUUACACCCCCUAUGGCUUAGCAUUUUUUUACAUAACCUCCCUAUGGUUUCAAAAGUUAUACAUAAUUUCCUCAUGAUUUGGAUUAAAGUAUCAAAGUGACGGGAAUGAUCAUUCGUAACGGAAUCAUCUACAAUGUCAAAAAUACCCUUAGGUAAAGUUGAAAAUUAUUUAUUAACCAAGGGGAGUUAUGUGUAUAUUUUGAAAACUAUAAGGAGGUUAUACGGUAAAACAUAAAAACCAUACGGGAUUAGUGUGUUAUGUAUUUAUAAGGGUAAAAAUUUCAACAUUUUUAGAAGUUCUGUUACGAAUGACUAUUUCUGUCACUUUGACAUUUUAAUUCAAAUCAUGAGGAGGUUAUGCAUAACUUUUGAAACUAUAGGGAAUUAUAUAAACAAAUACUAAAUCACAGGGGGGUAAACUAUAAUUUGCCAAACAAAUGUAGACAUGGUGAUUCUGUCAAUUUCAGGCACCUGAAAGUCUCUUGUCUUCGUUUAAGUCAAGUCUACUUCGCUUUUAAUGCCACAAGAAAAAUUGCAAAGUGAACAACUAAUAAUUUGAGAAUUUUUACGCGUUAAAGGAAUUUAAGUGCCCUAUGUGUUUUCGAUUCCGGAUCAUAACAUAGCAGUUUCAUAACAUUGUACAGAUUUCCCAAUAGAUCAAUGUUAUGGACUAUCAGUCUAUCACCAAUCAUGCACACAAUGUUGUUGUAUUCGCGAAAAUUUUUGAUACAUAUGAAUAAAACUUUUCAUAUAUAUUUGAUAUAAUAAUAUAUAAUGUUAUAACAAAUUCAUCAACCGAAUGAAACUGGACAAAACCCAAUGGCUCUGAGUCCAUGACUUGUAUACAACAACCUAUUUGCGAACUUCUUAAAUUUUAAAAAUUUCCAAUUUGACUCGGCACAUUCUAAUCAAGGCUUUCGAAGACCAAGACCUCAAAUUUCCAAGUAAAACAAGAAGAAUUUGAAAAAGGAUACAAGUUUUCCAUAAUUAUAAGCCAAGAAUUAAUGCAUCAAUGGUAAUUAAAAUUUUUGGCAAGCGAUAGAGAAAGUACUACUAUUAGCUGCUAAUUAAAGCAAAAUUUUGAUUGAUGGACAAAUUCAGUCAUCCUUAGUCAAUGGCAUUAAUUCAAGCUGGAAAAUUUCCACUCAACUUUCUUCCCAACAAACGAAUAUGUCUCUCUUUCCUCCACUUCUCACAGAUAGUUUUCCAAAUUCAAUUCUACCCACUCGAGAAUUUAAGACAUACUAAUUUCCACCGGCAGCUUCGAAGAAAUGCUAAUUUCCACCAGCAGCCUCGAAGUCAUGCGUAGACCUGGUCCUUGUCCUGGAAAGAGCAGAGUACUGGCAGAAACCUUUGUGCAUCCUAAUGAACUGCUAUAUAAACAUAAUGGUUCAAGCAGAUUUAACUUUUACGUACAGCUGGGAUUUCACAUUUCUACAAAAUAAAUCUCCUUUGUAACACUUCAAAGUAUCUGUAAUACAAUGAAUUUUAGAUCGGACGGGCCAAUAUAUGCGGCAGGUGCCCAGCUUUCCAUGUUUCUUGUAAUCAUAACAGUAGCUUUACUCAACUGUUGUGGUGGAAAUGGAGCUGGUGCUUGUAUAGAGUACGAGAAACAAGCUCUUUUGACCUUCAAGAAAGACUUGAUAGAUCCCUCGAAUCGACUUUCGUCAUGGACUGCUGCUGAUGCUGAUUGCUGCAAAUGGGAAGCAGUUGCCUGUGAUAACAUCACCAACCAUGUUACGGAACUUAACCUUCAACAUCCCAAUGGAACCUCUCUUUGGGAUCAGUAUGGUUAUAAUUACUUUGAGAUGUUUGCCCUCAGAGGCAGACUAAAUCCUUCUUUGCUCAAUCUGAAACAACUCCGGUUCCUCGAUUUGAGCCUAAAUGACUUCGAAGGAGUCCCAAUCCCCAGUUUUAUAGGGUCCCUCAAAAGUCUUGAGUAUCUCAAUUUAUCAUAUACAGGAUUCUCUGGAAUCAUACCACCUCAGCUGGGAAAUCUGUCAAAUUUACGCACUCUGAGCGUGGAAGGAGAAUAUAUUCAGGAUGACAAUCUGCAGUGGCUGGCUGGUCUUUCCAAUCUUGAGCACCUAGUUAUGGCUUCUGUGAAUCUCAGCAGAGCGUCUAAUUGGGCACAGGUGAUUAAUACGAUUCCUUCAUUGGUAGAGGUACACUUGUCUCACUGUCAACUUGACCAUAUUUCUCCCCUGAUGGAAACCAAUCUUUCUUCGCUUACUGUCCUUGAUCUUUCACUCAAUGAAAUAUCCUUCAUGCCCAGAUGGAUAUUUAGUCUUGGUACGCUGGUCUCCCUUGAUUUGGGUCAGAACAAUUGUCAAGUUCCAUGGCCAGAAGGUCCCUGGAACUUGACUUCCCUCCAAGUUUUGAAUUUGAAUCAGAACCAACUAGGUGGUUCAUUACCGCGAGAGCUUUUAUAUCUGAAUAAGCUCGUUUCCCUUGAUCUAUCCAAGAACGAGAUCAAUGAUCUAAUGCCAACUGCUAGUAGCAACCUGACAAACCUUCUACAUCUUGACAUUUCAGACAACCAGCUGAAUUCCAGCAUACCUAACUGGUUGUACAAGUCCAAACACAUCAAAUUACUGAAUCUUGCGCGCAACUGGCUGCAAGGUGUAAUCUUGGAAGACAUAGCAAACCUGAGCUCCAUAGUCGAGUUGGACUUGACUGCCAAUCAACUUACCGGAACAAUACCCAAGCAAAUAGGAAACCCUUGCGACAUAAGAUUCAUAAGUAUGUCAGAUAACAAACUCGAGGGACGAGUAUCAGAUUUGAUUGAUGGUAUGUCGGGAUGUUUUUCUUAUGCUCUCAAGAUCUUGUAUCUAGAAAAUAAUCAGCUCUCUGGCCAGUUAACUGAUAAUCUAGGACAAUUUCAAAAUCUUGAGCAGCUUAACCUUGGUUCCAACUCCAUAUCUGGUCCAAUCCCUUCCAACAUAGGGUUGUUGUCCUCCUUGGAAACAUUGCUUUUGGGAGAUAACAAACUAAAUGGAACCCUCCCUGCUUCUCUCGGAAAACUUUCCAAGUUAAAAGAGCUCGACAUUUCUCGCAAUAUGAUGGAAGGCAUUGUGACUCAGAGUCAACUUGAGAAUCUAACCAACAUAAGGUCUAUGAAGGCACCUGGAAAUUCCUUGACAUUAGAAGUAGAUUCCCGUUGGGUUUCUCCAGCCCAAUUUCAGCAUCUUGAUUUGAGUUCAUGGAAAUUAGGUCCUCAGUUUCCCAAUUGGCUCCGUUUACAAAAGAAGAUAUAUCAUCUGGAUUUGUCCUUUACCGGAAUCUCAGGUGCUAUUCCUUCGUGGCUUUGGAACUUGAGUGCAGAAUUUGACUACUUGGAUCUUUCCCAUAACCAGUUAAGUGGUAGUAUUUCAGAUAUUUGCUGCAUAAACGAAGUGCAUUUGAGCUCAAACCAAUUCAGUGGCCAAUUACCUCAUACAACUGCACAUCGUGUGUUUACUCUAGACCUUUCCAAUAAUUCAUUUUCUGGAGGUCUUUCUCAUUUCUUGUGUCGUGGAGCCGGAGUGAAUAAAGAACGAGGCAUACAGGUUCUUGAUCUUGGAGAAAAUCUUCUUUCAGGAGCAAUUCCUGAUUGUUGGAUGAAUUUGCCAAUGCUAGUCUUCAUUAGUUUGUCAAACAAUAAUCUAAGUGGAAGUAUCCCAAUGUCCAUCGGAUAUUUGACUUCUCUGCUCUCUUUGCACUUGCGCAACAACAGUCUCUCUGGUGAUAUACCUUCUUCCCUGGAGAAUUGUACAGAACUAAUUACAAUUGACGUUGCAGGAAACAAAUUAGGGGGGAAGUUACCAACUUGGCUGGGUCCAAGUCUUUCCAAAUUGAGGAUUCUCAUCCUACGCUCUAACAAGUUUCACGGUGAACUUGCUCCAGGACUCUGCCACCUGUCUUCUCUGCGAGUCUUAGACGUCUCCAACAACGAUUUUGUGGGUGUGAUUCCCAGUUGUUUCAACAACUUUACCUCGAUGGCAACCGAAGGGAAUGUUUCCUUACGCUAUAAUGAGAUAACUUACUACUAUGACGGCUACCCCGAGAGAGCACAGUUGGCAACCAAACGAAAUGAAUACGAUUAUCAUGGCACGGUACUUUAUCUUAUCUGCAGCAUUGACCUCGCAAGCAACAAUUUUUCUGGAAAGAUCCCUGAUGAGCUAAUCAAUCUUUUGGGGUUGAUAUCUUUGAAUUUGUCCGGCAAUCAACUGAACGGAAUGAUUCCACGGAACAUCGGCCAAAUGGGACAACUGGAAUCUCUUGAUCUAUCAAGAAAUCAUCUUUCUGGGUCAAUUCCUUCUAGCAUUUCAAAACUAUCCUCCUUGGGUUUCUUGAAUUUGUCCAACAAUAACUUGUCAGGGGAAAUUCCAUCAAGCACCCAAAUGCAAACUUUCGGUGCUUCUAGCUUUGCUGGAAACCAACUUUGCGGGCGUCCCCUGACAGUGAAUUGUAGUAGCAGCAGCACUGAUGGUGUUACUGCAAUCACUGAAGAAAGUGCUGAAGCUGUGGCGGACUAUUGGCUUUAUGUUUUCAUUGGCUUGGGGUUUGUGGUCGGAUUUUGGGGUGUCUGUUUUACUUUAAUACUGAAGAGGUCAUGGAGAUACGCAUACUUUCAGUUUGUGGAUGAAGCUUGGGACUGGCUACAGCUACAGGCAUGCCAUUUGUCCGCUAAAUUCAUGCUAAAGGGGUGAGGAGCAGGUGUCUUGGAUUCUAUUUCUUUAAAGUUAUUCAUCAUGUCUUGUGUUCUUGUGAUUCUAAUAUGUUAUCCCUUCCCCUCACGAAACUUAUUUGAAUAACGAGUAUUGCUCUGUCCGACUCUCCAUAGUUAGCAUAUUAAAUUAAGUUCAUAAUUUUAUAAGUUUCUGUAUCUGUAUUUAGCAGUUUUUUUUAAGUCAAAAUUUUGUUUAAUUUCUUAUUAAUUAGUUUGAGUAUCCUAUUAGAUUAUUUAUUGUCAUAGUAUUUUUCUUGUUUAUCAAGUCAUGUUGUCUAUUAUAAAUUUAUAAGUAGAGAGUCUUAUUAAUAUAUUUAGUUGACAAAAAAAAAAAAAGAUACUAUUGUUAUUAUUGUGAUUAAUGAUAUAUUAUUAAUUUUAUUUCUCUUCUCCCACACAUAUAUUUUUUUGUGUAUAAAUUAGUCUCUUCCAUAUAUUUUCAGCACUAAAUUAAUCUCCCCACCCUUCUAAUUUUCAUGUUAUAAGUAAAGCAAUUGCGAGUGAGGGUUGCAGUAGUUUCGGAUCCAAAAGUCCAUCUUUAGAGUUUCUGGAUGGAGUUAGCUUCUUUUGUCCAUUGCCAAUAACUUCAAAUGUUCUUUACAAUCUUCUUAAUUUUGUGAAUAUAUAUAUAUAUGUAUACACACCGCAGUUUUUUUUAUAAUCAAUUUACAAAACUGUUUCCCUUAAUUUUUAUACUAUGUAAAUGCUUUGCUGCUAUAUUCCUGCUCUUAUUGUUCUGUCAUCUAUUGACAGGUGUCGAGCCUGUGCAAUAAUAAGUACGUAUUAAUAUAUAUAUAUAUAUAUAAACUUUUGUAUAUAACGGUGAGUAGGAUCGAAUUCAUAAGAGUUAGGGAUAAUUCAUUUCUUCUAGAGUCCAGAGUACGAGGAUUUUUAUAAAAAUGGAAAUAAUUAAAUAACUCAAAUAAAAAGGCCUACAUGACAAUUUAUUAAAAUUGAAUUGAUAAUAAAUAAACUUUAGCCAAAAAAAAUAACUUCAGAAAUGGUUCAUUCAAUUAAUUACUGAUGCAAUAAUAAUUUCAUUUACUCAUUGAUAAACAAAUCAUCCGCUUUGUGGAUGAAGCUUGGUACAGGUUACAGGAACACUUUUUCUCUAUUAGAUUCAUAUUAAAAUAGCAGCAGUAAUAAUGGCGUUACAAUAAUCAAAGAAGAAAGUGCUGGAGCUGUGGUGGAUUAUGGCCCUUAUGGGCUUUAUAUUUCCGCCGGUGUGGGGUUUGUGGUCGGCUUAUAUGAACAAGAUCAGAACUGAAGAAUCCAUUAGACCUGGUGCGAAGUGGAUUAAAUGGAAAGUAAAUGUUAAUGAGAACCCACAAGUGAUGACUAGAGUCAAUACUUUUUGAUUUGAGUGGCAAUACUUUUGAAGUCCCAUUCCUAAAGGUUUCCUGGAACUUGACUUGGAUUUGUUGUUUAACAGCUUAAAGGAUGCAUUACCCUAGAGAGCUGUAGCACCCAAUCUUUCCGAUUCGGGGGUUUGAUAUAAAUUUAAUUAGUCUUGUUUGAAUUAAAUUAAAUUAUGAAACUCUAUGUUUUGGACUAAUUGAAUUGGGCUGGUAUUAAAUGAAUUGUUAAAUUAAAUUAAAUUUAUAAUGUUCAUGUAAGCUUAAGUGGACUAAUUGAAUGCACUAUCUAAACCUACCUGCUACUAGAGCUCAAGCUAGAUGGAUUUUUAGACUUACAAGCCACCCAAAUGCAAGAAUGCUCCGAAGAAUUUUCUUGAAGACUAAACACAAUUUCAGUUGUGUUUGGAUUGCAUUUUCCAUGGAUUUUUCAUUGAAAAAUUACUGUAGCGAUUUGAUGUAUGUGAGGUAAAAAGGUAAUAGGAAAAUGUGUUCACGAAAAACAAGACCAUUUUUCGAUGGAAAAUAGCUAUCCAAACGUUAACGUUUCUCAAGAGUUUUUCCCCUCAAAUCAUGAUAUCACCCAUUUUCUACACACAAAUUAUAGGAAUCAUAAAAUCAUCUGUUUUGAUCGAAGAACAAGUCUUUUUGACCCUUCAAUUAAAGUAUUUUAAAGAGAAGAAUCAGGAUAUUGAUUGAGAUUAACUUUUUUUUAUUUAAGAAUUUUCAAAAAUUAUAAUCUUUUUAUUCUUUGAUUUAAUAUAUUUGAUAUUUGUACAAGCUAUCUUGUCUUUUUAUCUUAGGCAACGAAAGUUGUGCUACACACUCUAACUAAUCACAUUUCACUUGCUCUGGAGUCUGGAGUCUGGAAACCGGAAUCAAUCGACUAAGAAAGAAGCUGCGAAACAUGUUAGUCAAACUGAAGUUUAGUUGCUGACCGUACAUUGACCGUCCAAAUUGCUACGUUCAAAACUAAUAUAUAUUGUUUUUUAUAAAAGAAAAAAAAAAAAAGGUUAAACCUGUCUAGACAGAAUUAAGAAACAAGAAGGCAUGUUAUUCUCUCUUUCUCUAUCUCUCAUUCCCAGACAUUUCUGUCUAUCUUUCCCUAACUUGAAGUCAAGUUUGUAGUCGUAGAUGUUACUAAUUCAUCAGGCUAAACUAUUAUUAAUGUUACUCUUAUAGUUCCCAGCAGCAUACAUGUUUUCUCUAUCAGAUAAUGACAUUAAUUUACUCCUUGUUUACAACAUAAAUUUGAAGCUACAGUCACUUUUCAGAAGAAAUUGACAGAAAGUAAGGUCAGGGGCCAAAUAUAACAUUUACAUGCGACCAAGACCUGUACAUUGGUCCAUUCAAUCGAAAUGCUAUAAGCUGAAGGCAACUAUACGGCUCAUAUCCAUCAAGAAACAUGAGAAAACACACAAGUAAUAAUUUGCAGGGUUUCUUUCCCAGAAAAGCCAUUAACCUGCAGAUAAAGCAGGAAUUCAUGCGAUCUUAUUGUCUUUUAUGGAAAUCUUUGCAUUUUUUAUUUUUAUUUUUAUUUUUCCUAUCACCUCUCUAAGACCUUAACAACGGGUAGGUUACUCGUCAAGCAACACAAGAGAGUGAGGGAAACUUAAACAGAUUAUUCAGGAGGACUAAAGACAAAUUUUAUUUAACAGUAAAUAAAGAAAGAUUCAAGGGACAAACAGCUACUGAAAAGAUCAAACCACACUCAAAGUUGGAAAUGGACCAAAAAGGGUGUUACUAGCAUUUGAGAUGAGAUGAAUACACGGAUACUCACUUAUUCUGAAUCUUUUGAACCUGCAGUAUGCCAUCGAGGUAAGUUUCUUUUAUAUGAGCUAUCUUGGCUCUGUCCUUUUCUCCACAAUCUACACUCAACUGCGGGCAAUUGUCAAUCUU
Molecule: long non-coding RNA, 24003 nt
Filed under: Coffea arabica (coffee)
Lineage: Eukaryota; Viridiplantae; Streptophyta; Magnoliopsida; Gentianales; Rubiaceae
Description: long non-coding RNA (CARA_LNC004115)
Source: RNAcentral